RNAcentral lists this ribosomal RNA (1374 nucleotides) under uncultured bacterium. RNAcentral describes it as "16S ribosomal RNA". It matches the Rfam family "Bacterial small subunit ribosomal RNA", at positions 30 to 1394 of the family's 1533-position model. The record is from RNAcentral.
UGAACGCUGGCGGUAUGCUUAACACAUGCAAGUCGAACGGAAACGAUACUAGCUUGCUAGUAGGCGUCGAGUGGCGGACGGGUGAGUAACGCGUAGGAAUCUGCCUGAUAGUGGGGGAUAGCCCGAAGAAAUUCGGAUUAAUACCGCAUAAUCUAUUCGUAGUAAAGUGGGGGACUUUCGAGCCUCACGCUAUCAGAUGAGCCUGCGUAAGAUUAGCUAGUUGGUAGGGUAAAAGCCUACCAAGGCUACGAUCUUUAGCUGGUCUGAGAGGAUGAUCAGCCACAUCGGGACUGAGACACGGCCCGAACUCCUACGGGAGGCAGCAGUGGGGAAUAUUGGACAAUGGGGGCAACCCUGAUCCAGCAAUACCGCGUGUGUGAAGAAGGCCUGAGGGUUGUAAAGCACUUUCAAUUGUGAAGAAAAGUUAACGGUUAAUAACCGUUAGCCUUGACGUUAACUUUAGAAGAAGCACCGGCUAACUCCGUGCCAGCAGCCGCGGUAAUACGGAGGGUGCAAGCGUUAAUCGGAAUUACUGGGCGUAAAGCGUGCGUAGGCGGUUUAUUAAGUCAGAUGUGAAAGCCCCGGGCUUAACCUGGGAACUGCAUUUGAAACUGGUCAACUAGAGUAUGGUAGAGGAAAGUGGAAUUUCUGGUGUAGCGGUGAAAUGCGUAGAUAUCAGAAGGGAACAUCAAUGGCGAAGGCAGCUUUCUGGACCAAUACUGACGCUGAGGUACGAAAGCGUGGGUAGCAAACAGGAUUAGAUACCCUGGUAGUCCACGCCGUAAACGAUGAUAACUAGCCGUUGGGGGGAUUUACCCUUUAGUGGCGAAGCUAACGCGUUAAGUUAUCCGCCUGGGGAGUACGGCCGCAAGGUUAAAACUCAAAGGAAUUGACGGGGACCCGCACAAGCGGUGGAGCAUGUGGUUUAAUUCGAUGCAACGCGAAGAACCUUACCUGGUCUUGACAUCCUGCGAACUUUCUAGAAAUAGAUUGGUGCCUUCGGGAACGCAGUGACAGGUGCUGCAUGGCUGUCGUCAGCUCGUGUCGUGAGAUGUUGGGUUAAGUCCCGUAACGAGCGCAACCCCUAUCCUUAUUUGCCAGCACGUCAUGGUGGGAACUAUAAGGAGACUGCCGGUGAUAAAUCGGAGGAAGGCGGGGACGACGUCAAGUCAUCAUGGCCCUUACGACCAGGGCUACACACGUGCUACAAUGGGAAGGACAAAGAGCCGCGAAGCCGCGAGGUGUAGCUAAUCUCAGAAACCUUUUCGUAGUCCGGAUUGGAGUCUGCAACUCGACUCCAUGAAGUCGGAAUCGCUAGUAAUCGUAGAUCAGAAUGCUACGGUGAAUACGUUCCCGGGUCUUGUACUCACCGCC